RNAcentral lists this small RNA (1398 nucleotides) under Rattus norvegicus (Norway rat). Its description in RNAcentral is "uncharacterized LOC102549994". Lineage: Eukaryota; Metazoa; Chordata; Mammalia; Rodentia; Muridae. The record is from RNAcentral.
AGAGAGAGAGAGAGAGAGAGAGUGCAGAGAGAAGACAGAGCCUAUGUGUAACGGGGAUGGGCUACAGGCCUAUGUGCAGGCAGUGAUGUGAGGAGGGACACAUCCCCUCCGACUACAGAGACCAGGGCUACUGUGGCCUUGGCAGCAGUGUGUGGGUUGCUGUGUUCUAGAAUCGUGUUCAAAGCUAGUAGUGGUGGCGCAUCUGUCAUCCUAGCACUUGGUAGGUGAAGAAAGGAGGUUCAGGAAUUUAAGGUCACAUUCUUGCCUACAGAGUGAGUUCAAGGCCAGCCUGGGCUACAUGAGACUCUGUCUCCAAAACAAACAAAUAAAAGGGGGGAAAACUCUUCAAAAUACAAGUAAGAGUUAAAACUGUGGGCACUGUCAGGUGUGGUGGCACAUGCCUUUUAUCCUAGCACUCAGAGGCAGAGGCAGGAGAUCUCUGUGAGAGCCAGGCCAGCUUGGGCUGCACAUUGAAACCCUGUGUAACAAAACAACCAAAGACCAACCCAAAACCCUGGCACCUUCACCUGCAUAAGCAGAACACUACUGGGACAGAUGGUCUUCAGAUGCACAUCAUUAGGCUAGGAUGAAGACUAUGCACCACUUGCCCAGGCCCAGGGCUCAGAGAGGUGCUCAGGUAAGGGCAGCUAGGUGCAGGUGGAGGAAGUGGUGACAUCCCCAACCCUGGCAACACAAGGGACUUCUUUGGAAAGUGGUCCCACACUGUUAUGCCACAUCACUGGGAUCACAGCUGAAACGGGCCUGCGGCUCCUCAUGGCUUCCCCAGGGGCGGUGAAACCACAGGGAGAUAAAACAAAGUAGAGAUGGCCUCAUUACCAUGGCCCAAAAUAGCCAGAAUGCUCUGCAUUUCAGGAGUGCUGGGCCGGGUUAUGUAAGAACUCAGGGUUAGGGGUGGGGCUGUGACCCCAAGGGAACCCCGCACUCAGACUUCCACGGGCCCUGUGUGUUCCAGAUCUCAAGACCUGGCCAGGGGGACCUUGCUGGCGUCUGCUGAGCACACCAUGGCCGGCAACCCUAUGAUGCUGAUGAUGGAGGGCUGUGGGGCAGCAUCCACACUGGGCAAAGAGGGCAGCUCAAGCCACGCAGGCCACACCAGAGACAAGAAGAGAUGCCCAGCACCCCAACCCCACCCCAAGCCUUCCCACAUCCCUGAGCUCUCCUUGGGCUCCCAAGACAAUGUCAGUCUUUGGUCCCAGCCUGUGCUGCUCUGAUACCCAGGUGUCUACACAGCCUUAUUCUAGGCCCACCCUGGCAGGCCACCCCAUCCUGUCACUGCUGUGUGACCCAGCUCCAAUGCCCUCACUCUUUUUUUCUUUUUUGUAACACCAGUAGGUUUCUGUUCUAUUUAAAAUGAAGCCAGCUUGCUCAGAACUUCAA